RNAcentral lists this ribosomal RNA (496 nucleotides) under uncultured bacterium. RNAcentral describes it as "partial 16S ribosomal RNA". It matches the Rfam family "Bacterial small subunit ribosomal RNA", at positions 28 to 506 of the family's 1533-position model. The record is from RNAcentral.
GAUGAACGCUGGCGGCGUGCCUAAUACAUGCAAGUCGAGCGAACAGGCGAGGAGUUUGCUCCUCUGACGUUAGCGGCGGACGGGUGAGUAACACGUGGAUAACCUACCUAUAAGACUGGGAUAACUUCGGGAAACCGGAGCUAAUACCGGAUAAUAUAUUGAACCGCAUGGUUCAAUAGUGAAAGACGGUUUUGCUGUCACUUAUAGAGGGAUCCGCGCCGCAUUAGCUAGUUGGUAAGGUAACGGCUUACCAAGGCACCGAUGCGUAGCCGACCUGAGAGGGGGAUCGGCCACACUGAACCUGAGAACCGUCCCAGACCCCAACGGGAGGCGGCAGUAGGGAAUCUUCGGCAAGGGGCGAAAGCCUGACGGAGCAACGCAGCGUGAGUGAUGAAGGUCUUCGGAUCGUAAAACCCUGUUAUUAGGGAAGAACAAAUGUGUAAGUAACUAUGCACGUCUGGAGGGUACCUAAUCAGAAAGCCACGGCUACCUCCGG